Molecule: transfer RNA, 84 nt
Filed under: Microcaldota archaeon
Lineage: Archaea; Nanobdellati; Microcaldota
Description: tRNA-Leu
Rfam family: tRNA
About the family: Transfer RNA (tRNA) molecules are approximately 80 nucleotides in length. Their secondary structure includes four short double-helical elements and three loops (D, anti-codon, and T loops). Further hydrogen bonds mediate the characteristic L-shaped molecular structure. tRNAs have two regions of fundamental functional importance: the anti-codon, which is responsible for specific mRNA codon recognition, and the 3' end, to which the tRNAs corresponding amino acid is attached (by aminoacyl-tRNA synthetases). tRNAs cope with the degeneracy of the genetic code in two manners: having more than one tRNA (with a specific anti-codon) for a particular amino acid; and 'wobble' base-pairing, i.e. permitting non-standard base-pairing at the 3rd anti-codon position.
Source: RNAcentral
GCAGGGGUAGCGAAGUGGUCAAACGCGCAGGGCUUAGGACCCUGUGGCUUAGUGCCUUCGAAGGUUCGAACCCUUCCCCCUGCA